UACGUAGGAGGCAAGCGUUGUCCGGAAUUACUGGGCGUAAAGCGCGUGUAGGUGGUGGGACAAGUCUGCUGUGAAAGCCCCGGGCUCAACCCGGGAAGUGCACUCGAAACUGUGAGGCUAGAGUAUCGGAGAGGUUGGUGGAAUUCUCGGUGUAGAGGUGAAAUUCGUAGAUAUCGAGAGGAACACCGGUGGCGAAGGCGGCCAACUGGACGAAUACUGACGCUGAGACUCGAAAGCGUGGGGAGCAAACAGG
This 253-nucleotide ribosomal RNA is filed under the name uncultured bacterium. RNAcentral's name for it is "partial 16S ribosomal RNA". It matches the Rfam family "Bacterial small subunit ribosomal RNA", at positions 524 to 776 of the family's 1533-position model. The record is from RNAcentral.